Molecule: long non-coding RNA, 4368 nt
Organism: Megalobrama amblycephala (Wuchang bream)
Lineage: Eukaryota; Metazoa; Chordata; Actinopteri; Cypriniformes; Xenocyprididae
Exons: 3
Source: RefSeq, a predicted model, not a curated record
UUUUACUUAUUAAGAUUUAAGCUUACACAUAUGGUUGAAUUAUUGAAGAAAAAGAUCUGUUACAGCAAGUCAUCACCAUUUUAGUGUUUUAAUAUAUAUAAUAUGUAAAUCUCUGAAAUUAUUUUGAAACGCCAGAAUUUUUUGUCAAUAUAGAAUAUUAUGAGAAUAUUUUCAAAACUGAACCACUGAAAAUCAAUGUCCAUUUCAAAAUGAGCAAUUAUUAUGAGCAAAAACCAUUAAUGCAAAGACUUUUAUUAUAAACUAUAAUUAUUCAAAUAAUUAUAACUUAUUUAUAAUAGCUUAUAAAUGGCAUCGGUAUAUAAAUAUUUCACUUUUUUUUUAAAUAACAAAAACAAUUAGAUAAAACAAUCAAUAUUCCCCAAGGAAGUGAUUCAUUUAAUGAUGAAGUCCAUGAUUUAUUGGUCUUGUCUUUUUAUUAAAUGAGGUUACUUCAUACUGCAUGAUGAGAACGAGCAAUUAGCGUAUGCAAAUGAGAGAGGACUCUGAGCUUUCACUAAUUUUGUGACAGAACAAAGAAAAUUUACAGAGCUUAUAUCUAAAAUGCAAAAUAGUCACAUUAAAAAAAUAUUGUACCCAAGAUAUUUUCUUAAAUUGGACUGAUUUUCAUUGCAGCAUCAUAUUAACAGGAUAUGGAUGCUGCAUAAUGUCUUGGUUGCUUCUGGCUAUGGGAGACUGAUAAAUGUACCACAGAUAUCUGCGAUGUGUGCUCAGGAUCAUUGAGUAUAAUCACUAAUUAACAUACUGCUAUUUGCUCUGUCUGAUCGAACGGCCUCAUUAAGUAACAGAUAAUCCCACAAUAUUCAAAGUUUACAGUACCUUUUUGUUUCUGCUCGCUGAGAUGUUUGCCGAGGCUCCAUACAGGCGUUAUACACAAAUAAAGAGCAGAUGCUGACUUUGAUGUGUGAAUUUGUGCCCCCAAAAAAGUGCAUAUCUGGACCAUCAGAAUUACCCUGGAUGUGAUGAUGGACUGAGAUAUUUGCCAACAUCCAAAGGAUGGUGUUACAAGAGUAAAAUACAUUACAGGAACUAGUGGGAAGAAUAAAAUAUUGAUUUGCUUGUAUGCAAAUGAGCUCAAAUAUGCUCAUUCCUCACAAAUAACCUCUCCCCUCCUCAAACAUUUGGAAACCUGUGUGUGAUCAUGCUUGAGAAACAGAUGUGUGUACAACGGGAUUUGAUUCCGUUGACAUCCGGGGUGAAUACGAUUCCCUUUCUCUCCGUCAGUGUUGUGAAUGUUUCAAAAGCAAACUUUCUUUUUCCUGAGUCGGGGCGCGAGUUCCGCACAGAGAUGUUUGAUGUUUUCCUCUUGUGGAGCUCGACGAGAAGAAGCGAGUUCUUAAUUUAUGAGGACAUAACAAGGAAGCUAUUAAACAAACAUAUUUCCCUGCUUCGGCUGGCAUGAAAGAGCCACUCAGGGCGAGAAAGCCCGCGCUUUGGUUUUGCGAAAAGAUAAUUGCCUAAAUGUUUACAAGUUAGCAAGAGUUUAAAUCGCACUAACGGUUGCGCUAACAACGCAUCAUUCAAGAUGACCGCAUAUAAAGGUAACAAAAGGAAUUAAAAGGCACUUUUCAGUGUAAUACCAAGAGGCUAUAACCAAUUUAAGCGAUUAUAUUGAGGGAUACAGCAUCCAAUUUCCACAAGUGGGGCAGUGGGAAGUGUUUAGGCUAGUUGAAGUACACGUCUUAAUGAGAAAAGACAAAAAAAAAAAAAAAAAAGAAUCCAUGUGCAUGAUUUAUGCAGUCUGUUUCUAGGAGCACAUACAUAAUUAUUUAUGAUCGCUGAGCCCGAGAAAGACGCGUGGAGAAAGAGAAACUGGUAAAAAAUUCAAAAGCAGAAGUAGUUAAAUGAAUAUUUAAGGGACUAUGAAAUAUUUAACGGAAACAAAUGAGAAAAACAUUUAAAACAGCAUGAUAAAUAAUAGUGGGAGUUGUCGGGUGGAGAAAAAAAGCGGCUGCCAUGAGGCCUUAAACAUCCGCGUGGUGUCUGAUCCCGGCCUCGGCGAUUUGUUUUCCAUAUGCCCGUCGUUACGGGGGCACGGUCAGUGUAUGAGGGCUGGCGCGUUGCAGGGGAAUAUUAGCUUUUUGUUGAGAGCGGUUGGAUGGAUGCCAUGGGCUAGUCACAAUUUAAUGUGUCGACUGGUCUGGUACAAGUGGAGGGCAGGACACUGGCAUUGACGAGAAGAAGAGGUGAUGUUUUAUGCCAGAGGACGGUGUUCUGAUGAUUUGUUCGACAAGGAAAAAUGCUAGGCUACCUAACAGAUUGUGCUACCAACAUAACAUUCAUAUGGUGUGAUGUGGUUUGAGGCUCUAUUAGUGUCCAAACUUACCUCAAACCCUAACCCUACCCUUAAAACAAUGCAAAUAUAGUGUUGUUAGCACAUUCUGAUAGGUAGCAUUUUUCGUUAAGACACCGGGCUCUACCUGAAGAGGACAAAUAUGAAGAGUGUAAGGAUUCAGGUAAUUUGUGUGCUGCUUUUAACAACAACAACACUAACAACAAUAUUUGAUUUUUUUCCCAUUAUUUACAGGUAAAAGUCCAAAUUUUAAACAGAAACAGUGUAAUAAUUCACAUUUAAGCCUACUUCAAGUAGAUUUUGUAAAGUAAAAAUGGCAAACCAACACAGUAGUAAUUGUUUAUCAUACAAGAGUAAUCAAAAAUAUCGUUACAAUCAAACUUGUUUUAACAUUACAAUAAAUAUAGACCAAAUAAUAUGCAAAAUUAUUAACAUGAUGCAGGCUGAAUUGGGUAAUUGACCUUUUUAUGUUUGAAAAUGAGGUCAUGUCAUUUACAACAUGUGGAAGCAUAUCCAGAUCCUUUUUAAAGUUUAUAAACCAAUUUAUUUGCAUGAUUAUAUGGUUUGUAGCAUUUUGCUUUUUUUUUUCUCCCUGCUGUCUAUAGAGAACAGUCCUAUUACCCAAUUUUGCAUUGCAAAUCACUGUAAUAUACAUUAUAUACACUGAAUACACAAUAUAUUCAUUAUUGAAUAUUGUAGAGUGUAACUGGAAAAAGCAGAAUAAAUAGAAUAAGAUUAUAUAAAAGAGCAAACAAGUGAAUUUAGAGCAUUUUUUUUCCAAUUAGCAUUAAAGUGAGAAUUUUAAUUUCCCAAAUGACUAAAGUAUAGUGAAAUAUUUUUCGUAUAUAACACAAGUAAAGAUUUUUUUUUCUUAUUCUUUUAACCCAAAGACUGACGUGGCACCAUAUUAUGCAUCUUAAAAUUCAAUAUAUUGCCGGGCAAUCAAAUAUGAGAGAUCUAUAAAUGUUUUUAUUUUGAUGGGGUUUUUUUUUUUUUUCUCUCUUUAGAAAGAGUUGGUAAGUACAUCAUUCGUAUGGUCUUGUUUUUUGAGUUUUUAUUUUCUGGCAACAGUCAUUGGCCUCUUGUUUAAUUUCCAUUUUUCCAGAUCUGAAAAUAAUUAAAUCAGCAAACAAAUAAUUAAUUGAGUCAAUGAGAACAAUUAGUUCAAAGACGCCUUUGAGAAUUGGUCGUGCAUAGUGAAUUGGUUAAUUAUCAUACUACAAAAUAAUUAAGUGGAAGAGCUCUCUGCAUGUGUGAUACUGCAUGUGAGUAGUAUUGACUUCUUUUGCAUAUGAGAAGAAAUGGAAACGUUCUGUGGAUGUUAAAGGUUCUUAAUGAAACCAUCAAUUCUUAUAAAGAAACUUUAGUUUUAAGAGUGUAUGCUGCUCUUUACAGUCCCCAUCCACUUUCAUUAUAUGGAAAAGAGCAGCAUGAAUAUUUGUCAAAACAUCUCCAUUUGUGUUCCACAGAAGAAAGAAGGUUAUACAUGUUUGAGGGUCAUCAAAACCUGGAUUGAUUUUUUUAUUUACUCUAAUCAUUGCACAUAACUGUCUUGCAUUGGCCCUUGACAAAAGUAAUGCAAUGACACCCAUGUUAAACUCCAUUAUAAUGCGUACUGAAGGUUGUGACACUAAUCUCAGUGACCUACACGGCCCAUACAUCAGAGCGCGUCUAUCUGCUGACAGCGUGCUGUAUCUAGGGGCCCAUGCUGCCGGAGGAGCCACGAGGCAGAGCGAUCGGAGCCGUCGCUGUAACCCUGUCCGAAGUCGGAGAUCAUUACCCCCGUGACUGAUGUGCGGGGCGGCCCAGAGUGAGCGCGUUUAUUUCCCUACGCAGGGGUGGGUGUCUCGGCCCCAUGAGGAGGACAGCCCUUCACGUUUUGUUAGCGUGGUCAUGGCUCUCACGUUAAAUCGAGGCCCUCUAGCGCACAUACGCCUCAGCUUAUUCUCCAUCCUUAUUUUAAGAAUCAUCCUUCUGUGGAUGCUGUGCUUAAUUUUAUGAGAGAGCAGAUAUAUUGCUGUCAUUUUGACAGCAUAUAAAAAAUAAUAGCUGUUAAG